Molecule: long non-coding RNA, 1593 nt
Organism: Equus caballus (horse)
Lineage: Eukaryota; Metazoa; Chordata; Mammalia; Perissodactyla; Equidae
Source: Ensembl
GGGCCUGAACCAAGCCACUGGCAGUGGGGAAGAAAAUGGGGAGACAGUGGAGAUAGUAAGGAGACGGAUCCAACAGGUUGGAGGGGUGGAGACACCGUUCCCAGGAACACGGGAAGAAGAGCAGGAAUGGAAGUAGGGACACAGGGAAACAAGGAGUUUACUCUUAGUCUUUCAGUUUUAGACACGCCAAGUGUGAAGGACGAUGGCAGGACAUCAGAAUGUGUGCCAGACCAGCAGGGACAAACAAGCUGUGCCACCCUCCUCAGAAUUCAGAGGCUGCCACCAGUGCAAGACAAGUGAUGUGGAAUGUGUUUCCAAGAGACCAACGAACCAGCUCUGGAGUGCGGCAUUGUAGCAACAGAGAUGUCUGCCAAAUGACAGAGCACAUAAAAGGGAGAGCCCAUAAUUAAUCUGCACGGAGCGUCCGAUUCUUGGCAAGCUUAAUGAGCUGCUGUUGGCCCUGCACAUCGACACGGCACUCUCUAAUUCCUCCACACAUCAAGCAAAUGGAUAUGAACCCAAGGUGGGGGAAAUAGGCGUCGUCCACAGCUCAGAUCUGCGGGAUCCUGAGUACAGGGAUGGAAAGCCCCCGGGAUCCCCUGAACAGGUGCAGCAACAGCAGGAAGGAUGCUAACUGAAGAGGAAAUGGUUAUAUCUUUUUAAUUACAUGGCAGAGCCAUUCCCUGCCUGACCAGCAGAGCAACACAUAGAGACGGUUGUCGUUUUGCUUUAGAAAAACGGAGUCUUUUCACUCCCUGCCACUUGUUUAUUUCUGCGCAGUCCUGUGUGAGAGAUCACUCAAUCACUAUGGUCUACACUUGCUUCCUUAACUCUAUCUCCCCCCGAAACCCAGGCAAUCAGAGGAUUGACAGGAAAGACAACAUCUAAUUUUUGCAGAUGCUCGCCAGCUCCCCUGGAGUAUACGUAAAGAAGGCUGCAUUUUGUGGCAGAAAAGCUCCUCUCAUCUUCUGCCCGACCCUGCUCCUCUUGGGAAUCCAGCUGUCCUCUGCCAUGCACGCCCAGCAGUCCAGCCAUGAUGCCGGCAGGCAGCAGAAGGAGAACAAGGGGCCCUCCAGAGAACGCGUGUUUUUUAAUAAGAAUCUGUCUCCCUUGGAUGUGCAUAUGUAAAUAUGCAAUACAAUCACAGACAAGGACGCAGGAGGCUUCCUCCUCCCUGUUCCAGCAUUCGAGGCCAAUCCCCAGCUCCACUUAGGGCCAAGUGGGCAAUCAUGGGUUCAGCAGUCUACACUGGACUUCCGGGGCACACCUGCAGGAAGACUUGGCUGGAGAGAGACCCCAAAGGCUACACUGUUCCCCGCUGCGUAUCUAGAAGGCACAGGGCAGCAUUGGGUUGAUACUGGACAUUGGACAAAAGAUAGGAAGGUUCAAGGGAGAAGCUCAAAAGAGAAUGCUGUCUGUUUGAAAUGCUCACCGACCCACGUCAGCCUAUCCAGCUGCUACUCAUCCUUCAAAGCUCAGUUCACAAUGUCCUCCUUAUUGCAGAUUUCCCUGCCCCAUGCACCCAGCCUCUCUCAUAGAUUCCUGGCUCCUUUCUGUGUUCCUAGAACAGAAACAGUCAUGGUCUCCCCAGCC